ACCUGCUUCAUGGAGAGAAUGCAUCGUUGCGAUGCCCAGUUGCAGGUACGUUGCAAGUCAGGUGUCAGGAUGGGCUUGUGCAUGUCGAAGGGGGCCGUUGCAUGCAAAAAUGCGACGCUGGAACGCUCCAGGAUGAAAACGG
Molecule: non-coding RNA, 142 nt
Filed under: Tripos fusus
Lineage: Eukaryota; Dinophyceae; Gonyaulacales; Ceratiaceae
Source: RNAcentral